UUUCCGUAGGUGAACCUGCGGAAGGAUCAUUACAGUAGUCGCCCGGGUUGCCGCAAGGCCUCCCGGGUAACCUACCACCCUUUGUUUAUUACACUUUGUUGCUUUGGCAGGCCUGCCCUCGGGCUGCUGGCUCCGGCCGGCGAGCGCUUGCCAGAGGACCUAAACUCUGUUUGUCUAUACUGUCUGAGUACUAUAUAAUAGUUAAACCUUCAACAACGGAUCUCUUGGUUCUG
RNAcentral lists this unclassified non-coding RNA (233 nucleotides) under plant metagenome. RNAcentral describes it as "partial contains small subunit ribosomal RNA, internal transcribed spacer 1, and 5.8S ribosomal RNA". The record is from RNAcentral.